RNAcentral lists this ribosomal RNA (434 nucleotides) under uncultured Lachnospiraceae bacterium. RNAcentral's name for it is "partial 16S ribosomal RNA". It matches the Rfam family "Bacterial small subunit ribosomal RNA", at positions 341 to 792 of the family's 1533-position model. Lineage: Bacteria; Bacillati; Bacillota; Clostridia; Lachnospirales; Lachnospiraceae. The record is from RNAcentral.
ACGGAAGGCAGCAGUGGGGAAUAUUGCACAAUGGGGGAAACCCUGAUGCAGCGACGCCGCGUGAGUGAAGGAGUAUUUCGGUAUGUAAAGCUCUAUCAGCAGGAAAGAAAAUGACGGUACCUGACUAAGAAGCCCCGGCUAACUACGUGCCAGCAGCCGCGGUAAUACGUAGGGGGCAAGCGUUAUCCGGAUUUACUGGGUGUAAAGGGAGCGUAGACGGCUUUGCAAGUCUGAAGUGAAAGCCCGGGGCUCAACCCCGGAACUGCUUUGGAAACUGUAGAGCUAGAGUGCAGGAGAGGUAAGUGGAAUUCCUAGUGUAGCGGUGAAAUGCGUAGAUAUUAGGAGGAACACCAGUGGCGAAGGCGGCUUACUGGACUGUAACUGACGUUGAGGCUCGAAGGCGUGGGGAGCAAACAGGAUUAGAUACCCUGGUA